RNAcentral lists this long non-coding RNA (816 nucleotides) under Physcomitrium patens. RNAcentral's name for it is "long non-coding RNA (PPAT_LNC004133)". The record is from RNAcentral. Lineage: Eukaryota; Viridiplantae; Streptophyta; Bryopsida; Funariales; Funariaceae.
UGACAAAAAGCCAAAUCAUAAUUGCAUUGACGAGGAAUUAAACUUUUUACACUUUUAUUUUUUUAUCUUUUUAUUUUUUAUUUGUAGAAAUUUAGUUUUUCUCUUUAUGAGUUUUAUAAUAAUUUGACCAUCAUACCAAGCUUCUUGAAGUAGGUAGAGUAAUUCUAUUGAUGUUGUUGUGUGGGACACAAGUCCAAAGCUAUUGGCCACCAAAUCCAUUGAAAGACCAUUGACUUGCCUUGUAGUAUGGAGUCAUCACAUGCAACCGAAUUUUACAUGUGUUUGCAUUACAUUAAUACAUCUAAAACUUUCUUUUUUAUUUAAAUUAUAUAUAUAUAUAUAUAUAUAUAUGCAUGCAACCCAAUAUUAUGGUGAGUAUUAAUGACUUUGUUUAUAAUUUGAAUGAUUUGUGUUGAAUGUGAAAUUUGUUGAUAGGAAUAUCUAAUAUCCUAUUUUCUUUUCCCUUCAAUGAUUUUGAUCCCAAUGGGAGCAAUAUUGUUUGUGAUUUGACUCCUUUUCUAUAAAAUUUUUGCAAAAGUAGCUGACAUAGUAAAAAGAAGGAGGAGGCCUUAGUAUGAGUUUGGAGGUUGUAUUAUUUGUAUGCACACCACCUCCAUGAAAAUAAAACAAAAAAUAUAAACCAGAAAAUAGAUAAAAUGUAAUAAAUAAAAGAAAAUAAAGACAAAUCCCAAAUUCUUAAAUAAGAUUUUAUUUUUUUUAUUUUUAGUAGAGACUUGCAAGUUAUAAAUAAAAAAAUAUUUUGUAAAGUAUAAUAAUAGAAUUUUAUUUUACAAACUAUUACAAUUAUUAGAAUUG